This is a long non-coding RNA of Chelonia mydas (Green sea turtle), 4595 nucleotides long. RefSeq lists it as uncharacterized. Lineage: Eukaryota; Metazoa; Chordata; Testudines; Cheloniidae. The record is from RefSeq and is a predicted model, not a curated record. The transcript has 3 exons.
ACUUUCCUGAAGAUGGAAGAAGAGAGGGAGAGAAAGGAAAGAGACAGGAAGCUGAAGUUAGUCUUUAUCUGGGGUAGAUACUGGAAUUGAUUUUUAUCAUUCCAUGUAGUACAGAGUCAUUCAACUCUAUGCAUAAAAGAUACUUCCCAAAAGCCAGCUUUUAUUGAAGUUCCUGCAUCUGUCUUUCACAAGGAUUGGACUGGAAGCAGUUGUUAUUGACAAAUUUAUAUUUUUGAGCUUCAGGUUGACUGUAAGCAAACAUUACUGCACUGUAGAGCCAAAUGUAACCAGAUUCACCUCCCUUGGCACCAGAACACAUCGUGUAGUUGCAAGAUAGAGAGUUGGCAUCUAUGCACGUCUGACUUGUGAAAUUCACUGUUUUCUGGGUCUGAACAUAGUAAUUAUUUGGAUACACUGAAAUGGGUAUCCUAAAUCAAUCUUUAUAACAGAAUCACACUGCACUAUAUUGUGAAAAACAAAGAAUGGCUGAGUUAUGAGUCAUAAAUGAGGAGUUAUGAGUCAUAAAUGAGAAGGUGGCUCAGGCAAGAAUGGGAUAGGGCAAUGCCAUAUUUAAGCACAACAGAGACCACCACAAAAACUUGCAGGCAUGCAUUAGCAUAACCACAUGCCAAACUGUCAGGUUGCAAAAUUAGACUGAGCAUGUCAAAAAGGAAAGUUAACAGCUUCUCCUUUCCCUCACACUGAAAUCAUGCUAUAUUCCUUUAAACUGGGUUGCUGUAGAGAAAACAGGAAGCACUCUCCUUCUUCGGGACAUAACGCGCUGCAUCCACAGCAUGCCCAGACUCUUAGUCCAGAGAGUAAGAACAGCACCAAGCCAGAACUCCAGAUCUCUAGCAUGGUUGUGUCUGCUUCCACCAGGCCAGUUGUGGAGAAAACCCCAAAAGAUGUGUGCCAAACGUGAGCCAACAAACAGUGAGUCUGCAGAGCACCCAAAACAAUAGCUGUGAGGUGUGACUUGCCCUACUUAUUUCAAGAAAAGCUCCAUGGACUCUGCAUUUCCACGGCUAUGGAAUUUUGCCACUGUCAAUCACUUGACGUUUUGUUUUCUGUCUCCCUGCAUUUGCCCCUGCUCUCCAACAGCACAGCAGUUAAGGCCCUAGGAAGAUGAAGUGCUGAAGCCAGCUACAAGUUCCUCCCUUCCGGGGAAGGAGAUUCUGAACUGGGCUGCCUAGACAACACUGCAGGAGCUGAUGCAAGGGGAAUGGAGCCACCAGGAUAGCAAAAAAAAACAAAAACAAAAACACAACAAAAAACCACCCCUCAUUCUCAAAAAUAAUCAACAAAUUUUAAGUUUACUGAGUAUUUCCACUAUGAGCCAUAGAAGUGCUUGUGUGGGGCAGAGGGGAUUGGGAAUAAAGGGUAUUUCCAUGGUGAUAAAACAGACUAAUACAGCUGUCUCAUUUGGUCCCACUGUUGAAGAGUACAACAGGCCCUGGCUACAUGUAGCUACUAGAUCACAUGGAGAAAAAUGACAGAGACAUGAAAGAUGAAGCCACAAGGCAGGACUUUACAAGCAUCUCACUUACGGCAAGCGUUUUAAGUUCAGAACUUUGCCACUAAACAUUUCAGUGCUCCAGGGUAAAAAGUAAUUCAGCCAAUAGCAUUCAAAUGGCAUUAAACAAAACAAAACCUUUUGUCAAACUGCUGGAUGGCUCAUGUAUUGGCACAACCUACUGAACUAUCACCAUUCAGGUAGGGAUAAAACCCCAACAGGUAAUACCGCAUCAUUCAUCUUAAAAUAUGCCUAUGUUCAGACACCCUCAUUUGGUUUUUUAUAAGAAUCAUGUCAUGAAAACUUUAAAGCAGACCAAGCAUACACUAUUCUCCCAACUAUUAUUACAAAAAGAGGGCUACAACUCAGAGGAACGAAGGUAGAUCAAUACAAUGGAGUCACUCACAAACAUCUGGGAAUUACUUGCAGUUCACACAGACUGAAAGCCAUCAGUGAAAUACAAUGAAUGGCCUGUAAAUGGGGUACUAAUAAACAAACAAUGUUUGUUUUUAUUCAGACAAACUCACCUUUCUGUAAUCCAGUCUUCACUGCUGUCUGUGGAACCAUUUCUACCUGUUUGGACAGGAAAAUCUAUAGUUAACAGAGGAAUUUUUUCCCCUAGUAUAAAAAAGAAAAAACAUCCAAGUUUAAGUGAUUAGCAUAUCUGAACUCAGAUGUAGUCUGGCAGUCGCCUUCUCAGUGUAAGCCUUCUGUCCUGCUGGGAUUUAAUCCUAGCUGCCUAGGCUGAAUACCAGGUGAUAAGGCAGCCAUAUGUUCAAUAGCAAGGUCCUUUCCAAUCACUCCCUUUGUGCUUGAAGACAACAGGAAAACUUUAUCCAUGUCCAGCAGGCAGGAGAGGGGUUCAUUCCUGUAGCCAACCCUGAUGCUGUUGUAAAACCCAACACCUGUUAAGGUAAACUUGUACUUAUACAGGUCUGACUCAGGUUAGUGAGACACUUAAUGUAUUGCCGUUUUAAGGCACUUCCAUCAAGCAUGCACUCUUGAGCUUCUGGGGAUAUGGACCUUCUCUCUGUAUAGAGGGCUGCAAGGCCCAUAAAGGUGGGGAUGAGGACUCCAUAUAGAGCAUUGCAGAGCUCUAUACAGCUGGAAACUCAUGUCAGUACAAACUUAAGUAGACAAGUUUGUGAUCUUCCAAAAGCACGUCACGUUCUUGGUCCUACAUCAGAAGGAUGAAAUUAGAAAUUUUUCUGCCAAUAUACAUGUAAUACAUGUGAGAAUUUGGUGAUAAAAAGCAUAAUUAAAGGAAGAAAGUUGUUUCCUAAGGUCCUGGUUUUAGGCUAAGAAUUGCAGGCUUUUAUUUCUUUGCAAUGUGGUUAACAAAGCAUAUAGAAACACAUUUAGUAAAUAUUUAAGGAUUAAUCUAAAUUUUUUUAAAAAAUAUUUUAUUUUGUUGUACAAUAGGUAAAAACAUACAAUAGAAGGAUUUGUAUAGGAUACAGUUCGUAAUACAAAUAUAAAAUCUAAACAAUCACUUGUAUUUCUCUAUUUCUCACUGUAACAGUAGCAUUAACAUUUUGUUUUUCCCAUUUGUAUUCAUUCCAGUUAUAAAUUUAAACCAAGUGGUCACAGACUGAAUUUGGGAAUCAGUUGCAAGAAAACUUGACUUUGGGUAACAAAUAUUGUUGCAUAAUUGUAAGAAGUUAGUAAGACUUAUUUUGAAUAUAAUUUAAUACAUUCAAAGUUAUGUGCAUUACAGUGCAUCUUUGAUUAUUUUAUUACGUUUUAGUCACAUACUUUGCCUGAGAAAAGCAAUUUAAUGUACUAUGUUGCCUUAGUUAGCUACAUAGUAUAAGCAAGCAAAGCUAACCUGGAACCACAAUGUUCCUAUUGUUGGUUCUUAUACCUUUGUUAAAUUAAGGAGAAUUUGCAACUGCAAAAGGAUUUAUUUAAAAAUAGGGGAAUCGCAACUUCUCACAUCAAGAAGUUAAAGGGCCUACGUGUCAGCUAUUUUACAUCCAACAGGUUGCCUUUUAAAAAAAAUGGUUUCAGUGACAAACUUUUUUUAGAGUUAAAUUUCCUUCUGUCACUUUGGCAACCCAAACAUGGAAGUGUCAUACUAGUGCAUCAGAACCAAAAUAUGAAACUUAAAAAAAAAAAAAAAAAAUAGACAAGGCCUAUUUUCAGCCUUUAAGAUGAUUGAAGUGCAAUAAAAUAAAAUAAAGUGUAAUGGGCAAAGAAUAAAUUAGGGGUUUUUUUUAAAUAUUUAUUUUACUCUAAUGAAGUUUAAAAAAAAAACUUUAACCUGCGUCCCUUUUUAAAAAAGCCCAUUGGAAAAAACUGUAUUAAGAAACAUUUGUUCUACAAAAGUUUCAGGUUUCAAGGGUGGGUGCCCUUAUGGUUUAAAUAUGGAAAAAUUGAUAGUAAGGAAAAGAACCAACAACUCUGACAAACUUGUUAAAUAAGUGUAUUGAGUUAAAUAUUUAAGUAUGUCACCUGCUCAACUUGCCUACUCAUCUCCACUCAGAAUUUUUUUUUUUUAAAUAAAGCAACAACAUUUGUCUGUCUGGCAUUCGGAUUAAAAGAGUGCCCUGUACAUGUUCUACUUAAGGGGGAGAAAAAAAAAAUCUAAGAUUUGUUUUUUUGUUUAUGUCUGCCAACAUAAAAGUCAGAUUAUUCAUCUUUAAAAUAGAUCAUUCUUAGAGUCCAUUUUCAAAAGUGAUCAAAUAAAUCAGAAACUUUGAAAAACAAAACCUCAAUACAAACCAGCAGCUAAACCAAGAGUAAGAAGAGGAAGGAACCUGGUGGCAAUUCCAUCAAAUAGAUAUUAUUAAAACAUAAAAUCAUUUUGCUCACAACAGAAAUCUCAAAGUUAACAUGUCAGGUUCAUUAGGAGUCUUGCAUCAUUGAGUUCCCAUUAUCCAAAGCCUGAACUGAUACUGUGAAGAUGCCAGUAGCAGAGUCACAGCAAUAAUGGUACAGACAGGGGGAUUUCAUGAAGGAUAGUCCAAAAAGGAAACUCGAUGGGCAAAAUGGAGAAAAAUAAAAAGGCACCAAUAUAAGCCACAACAUUUAUGAAUACAAAAUAUAUUUUAACUCUCUACAUGGAGGAAGCCAACCUGCU